CAACCCUCAGGCCACGCCUGGCGUUGGGGUCCUGCGCUGCAGGCCCCGAAAGACAGCGGCGGGUGCGUCCCACGACCGAACGCAGUAGUUACUUCUCGUUCCGGGCGCGGGCGCAUGCCGGCCGGUAAACCCCCAAUUUUACAA
RNAcentral lists this unclassified non-coding RNA (144 nucleotides) under uncultured Dictyochaeta. RNAcentral describes it as "sequence contains ITS2". RNAcentral also lists the same sequence under 1 other name. Lineage: Eukaryota; Fungi; Ascomycota; Sordariomycetes; Chaetosphaeriales; Chaetosphaeriaceae. The record is from RNAcentral.